Unclassified non-coding RNA from Callithrix jacchus (white-tufted-ear marmoset), 117 nucleotides. It matches the Rfam family "Metazoan signal recognition particle RNA". From Rfam's summary of the family: The signal recognition particle (SRP) is a universally conserved ribonucleoprotein. It is involved in the co-translational targeting of proteins to membranes. Lineage: Eukaryota; Metazoa; Chordata; Mammalia; Primates; Cebidae. The record is from Ensembl.
GCUGGGUGUGGUGGCUCAUACCUGUAAUCCCAGCGCUUUUGGAGGCUGAGGUGGGUGGAUCACUUGAGGUCAGGAGUUCUAGACCAGCCUGGCCAACAUGGUGAAAUCCCAUCUCUA